This 1023-nucleotide ribosomal RNA is filed under the name Bacillus thaonhiensis. Its description in RNAcentral is "bacterial SSU rRNA". It matches the Rfam family "Bacterial small subunit ribosomal RNA", at positions 33 to 1039 of the family's 1533-position model. The record is from RNAcentral. Lineage: Bacteria; Bacillati; Bacillota; Bacilli; Caryophanales; Bacillaceae.
GCGGUGCCGGCGUGCUAUACAUGCAGUCGAGCGGACAGAUGGGAGCUUGCUCCCUGAAGUCAGCGGCGGACGGGUGAGUAACACGUGGGCAACCUGCCUGUAAGACUGGGAUAACUUCGGGAAACCGGAGCUAAUACCGGAUAACACCGAGGACCUCAUGGUCCUUGGUUGAAAGAUGGCUUCGGCUAUCACUUACAGAUGGGCCCGCGGCGCAUUAGCUAGUUGGUGAGGUAACGGCUCACCAAGGCGACGAUGCGUAGCCGACCUGAGAGGGUGAUCGGCCACACUGGGACUGAGACACGGCCCAGACUCCUACGGGAGGCAGCAGUAGGGAAUCUUCCGCAAUGGACGAAAGUCUGACGGAGCAACGCCGCGUGAGCGAUGAAGGCCUUCGGGUCGUAAAGCUCUGUUGUUAGGGAAGAACAAGUACCGUUCGAAUAGGGCGGUACCUUGACGGUACCUAACCAGAAAGCCACGGCUAACUACGUGCCAGCAGCCGCGGUAAUACGUAGGUGGCAAGCUUGUCCGGAAUUAUUGGGCGUAAAGCGCGCGCAGGCGGUUCCUUAAGUCUGAUGUGAAAGCCCACGGCUCAACCGUGGAGGGUCAUUGGAAACUGGGGAACUUGAGUGCAGAAGAGGAAAGCGGAAUUCCACGUGUAGCGGUGAAAUGCGUAGAGAUGUGGAGGAACACCAGUGGCGAAGGCGGCUUUCUGGUCUGUAACUGACGCUGAGGCGCGAAAGCGUGGGGAGCAAACAGGAUUAGAUACCCUGGUAGUCCACGCCGUAAACGAUGAGUGCUAAGUGUUAGGGGGUUUCCGCCCCUUAGUGCUGCAGCUAACGCAUUAAGCACUCCGCCUGGGGAGUACGGCCGCAAGGCUGAAACUCAAAGGAAUUGACGGGGGCCCGCACAAGCGGUGGAGCAUGUGGUUUAUUUCGAAGCAACGCGAAGAACCUUACCAGGUCUUGACAUCCUCUGACAACUCUAGAGAUAGAGCGUUCCCCUUCGGGGGACAGAGUGACAGGU